CGCACCUUCGGGUGAGCGGCGGACGGGUGAGUAACGCGUGGGAACGUGCCCUUUGGUACGGGAUAACUGAGGGAAACUUCAGCUAAUACCGUAUGUGCCCUACGGGGGAAAGAUUUAUCACCAUUGGAGCGGCCCGCGUUGGAUUAGGUAGUUGGUGAGGUAAAGGCUCACCAAGCCUACGAUCCAUAGCUGGUCUGAGAGGAUGAUCAGCCACACUGGGACUGAGACACGGCCCAGACUCCUACGGGAGGCAGCAGUAGGGAAUCUUGCGCAAUGGGCGAAAGCCUGACGCAGCCAUGCCGCGUGAAUGAUGAAGGUCUUAGGAUUGUAAAAUUCUUUCACCGGGGAAGAUAAUGACGGUACCCGGAGAAGAAGCCCCGGCUAACUUCGUGCCAGCAGCCGCGGUAAUACGAAGGGGGCUAGCGUUGCUCGGAAUUACUGGGCGUAAAGGGCGCGUAGGCGGACAGUUUAGUCAGAGGUGAAAGCCCAGGGCUCAACCUUGGAAUUGCCUUUGAUACUGGCUGUCUUGAGUUCGGGAGAGGUGAGUGGAAUGCCGAGUGUAGAGGUGAAAUUCGUAGAUAUUCGGCGGAACACCAGUGGCGAAGGCGACUCACUGGCCCGA
RNAcentral lists this ribosomal RNA (622 nucleotides) under uncultured Alphaproteobacteria bacterium. Its description in RNAcentral is "bacterial SSU rRNA". It matches the Rfam family "Bacterial small subunit ribosomal RNA", at positions 67 to 737 of the family's 1533-position model. Lineage: Bacteria; Pseudomonadati; Pseudomonadota; Alphaproteobacteria. The record is from RNAcentral.